Molecule: ribosomal RNA, 229 nt
Filed under: uncultured bacterium
Lineage: Bacteria
Description: partial 16S ribosomal RNA
Rfam family: Bacterial small subunit ribosomal RNA
Source: RNAcentral
UAAAGUGGCGCACGGGUGAGUAACACGUGACUAACCUACCCUGGAGUGGGGAAUAACUGAGGGAAACCUUAGCUAAUACCGCAUAACACCUACGGGUCAAAGGAGCAAUUCGCUUCAGGAGGGGGUCGCGGCAGAUUAGCUAGUUGGCGGGGUAAUGGCCCACCAAGGCAGUGAUCUGUAUCCGGCCUGAGAGGGCGCACGGACACACUGGAACUGAAACACGGUCCAG